CCAAUAGGAAAAUAAAAGAAAGAAGACACCAUUGAAGAAGCUCUCGCUCCCUCUACUCUCCUCCGCUGCCGCCAACAUCACCACCGGUAUUCUCCACUUACCUAUACAAACUCACAUUUAGCUCGUGUUCUCGUAUCAUGAAUCCAGGCAUGGAGUCUCAUAACCAGUCAGAGAAGCAAAGCUCGCCUGGUUCGAGCAGCGUGUCUAAGAAAGUCGCGUUGAUGUGGGAGAGAAUGAACGAGGGAGUACCUAAAAAGCGAGUCAACUUCCACUCAAAGACCUCAACCGCUAAUAACAACUGGAGAGGUUAUCUUGGUGUGGAUGCGAAGAAGAAGAAUGAGCACGCAAUUGUAGUCAAGGAAGAUAGCGUUGUUUCGGAUAGUAGGUGUAGCGAGGAGGCUAAGAGCAUUGCUGCAGCCGCUCUAGCUGCUGUCAGAAACGCUACUGCAACCGCUGCAGCUGCAUCGAGCCGUGGCAAGAUCGAGAUAACUGAGGUCAAAGACUUUGCUGGACAAGAAAUCCAAGUAAAGCGGUUAGUGGAAGCUGGUUCAAAGGAAGCCUCCUCCUCUGCAUCGACUUCAGGGGUUGAUGCGGUUCUUGAGCAGAUAAAAAAGAAGCAGAAGCUGAGCGUUUUGGACAAGACCAAGAAAGAUUGGGGAGAGUACAAGGAGGAUAACAAAGGCGUUGAAGACGAGCUGGAUAAGUACAAGAAGAGCUCUGAUCAGUAUCUAGAUAAAGUUUCUUUCUUGGAGAGAGCUGAUUACAGACAGUUUGAGAAAGAGAGAGACGCCCGUUUAGCUCUUCAGUCCAAGAGAAGACUCGAUGAUGCCUGAAUGAAUGUUGAGGACUCUUAUUAACUUUCUUCUUACGCUGCAAGUGUUCUCUGUUUUCUUGUAUGUAGACAAGGCAUCCAUCUUACGAAAGCUUGUAGCAGUUUCUAAGGGAUGUUUUGUCACAUUCUCAGAAACUUCCUUGCAUCGCAAGGUACACAGUCUCCGGAACCUCUGGUGCAGCAGCAUUGUCAACCAGAUUAGGCCUAAUGUCAGCAGAUUCAAAUUCCGACCAUGGUUGCUUACCAUGUGACCACAAAUCUAGGGUUUUCUCGACCACACCGUGUUGAACUGGCGACUCCGGAGACAUAUAAACAGAUGUUCCAACAAACGGUGAAUCAACUCUUUAGUACUCAGACACCUCUCCUGCCUUUGUCGACAUGACAGUCCGAAAUCUUGAGAUCGUACAAACCUUUUACCGCUGAGGAGGAAAAAGAAGUAGAUUAUCUGGUUUAAGAAGUAGAUCAUACGAGUGAAGUCUUUUGAUGGUUGUAUCCGACAAUUUUUUUGUUUCCUUCUAUGAAAGCAGU
RNA transcript from Raphanus sativus (radish), 1360 nucleotides. RefSeq lists it as uncharacterized. The record is from RefSeq and is a predicted model, not a curated record. Lineage: Eukaryota; Viridiplantae; Streptophyta; Magnoliopsida; Brassicales; Brassicaceae. The transcript has 4 exons.